ACCCUAACCAGCAGCUAUCAGCCUUAAACAAAAAAAAAUAAGAAAAAAACUUAAACAUUUGCCCCCCCCCCAAAAGCUUCGCCGUUUCAAAUCCCAUGCCUCUGUCGAUUCAACUCCGAUUAGCCCAGAGGAGAAGAAGGCUUCAUCGGCGCUGUUAAAAGGUACGGCCGUACGGAGGCUAGGUGGAGGCUCGUGGUGGCGCUACGUGCGUGAGGAGGCAAGCGCGCGUGGGAGGAGCGGCGCUGGAAGCUGCUAGGGCUUCAGCUUCCAAUUUUACGUUGGACCACUUCGUGAUUGGGCAUGGGGGGAAUUGGGCCUACUUGGGUUUAGGCCUGCUAAUGUAAAAAAAUUGGACUGUAUUAUUAUUUUUUGGACUUUAAUUUUUAAUUUGGUUUAUUUAUUACGGGCCAUGGCAAAAAUGGGCUAUUACAAUUGUUUAUAAUAUCAUUUAAAUUAGUUUAAAUUUAUAAAAUGAAUGUUUCCAUUUUUA
Gossypium raimondii (Peruvian cotton) is the source of this 490-nucleotide long non-coding RNA. RefSeq lists it as uncharacterized. The transcript is spliced from 2 exons. NCBI's taxonomy places the organism in Eukaryota, Viridiplantae, Streptophyta, Magnoliopsida, Malvales, Malvaceae. The record is from RefSeq and is a predicted model, not a curated record.